Delphinapterus leucas (beluga whale) is the source of this 194-nucleotide non-coding RNA. Lineage: Eukaryota; Metazoa; Chordata; Mammalia; Artiodactyla; Monodontidae. The record is from RefSeq and is a predicted model, not a curated record.
ACACCCAGCCAAGAGGAGGAAAAGAUCCUUGAGUUGAUAAACCAGCAAGAAAUGCCACCAGAACCUGAGACCAGAGGAGCUUUUCUUUCUUUAACUGCAAGUUACACCACGUUCAGUCGUCAAUUUUUGUAAGAAAUCAGACCUUCCCAAAGCCGUGAGACUCCCCUGUCGGAAGAUGAAUGGAAGGUGUUAGU